CAGUAGGGAUCUUCCGCAAUGGACGAAAGUCUGACGGAGCAAUGCCGCGUGAGUGAAGAAGGUUUUCGGAUCGUAAAACUCUGUUGUUAGAGAAGAACAAGGAUGAGAGUAACUGCUCAUCCCCUGACGGUAUCUAACCAGAAAGCCACGGCUAACUACGUGCCAGCAGCCGCGGUAAUACGUAGGUGGCAAGCGUUGUCCGGAUUUAUUGGGCGUAAAGCGAGCGCAGGCGGUUCUUUAAGUCUGAUGUGAAAGCCCCCGGCUCAACCGGGGAGGGUCAUUGGAAACUGGAGAACUUGAGUGCAGAAGAGGAGAGUGGAAUUCCAUGUGUAGCGGUGAAAUGCGUAGAUAUAUGGAGGAACACCAGUGGCGAAGGCGACUCUCUGGUCUGUAACUGACGCUGAGGCUCGAAAGCGUGGGGAGCAAACAGGAUUAGAUACCCUGGUAGUCCACGCUGUAAACGAUGAGUGCUAAGUGUUGGAGGGUUUCCGCCCUUCAGUGCUGCAGCUAACGCAUUAAGCACUCCGCCUGGGGAGUACGACCGCAAGGUUGAAACUCAAAGGAAUUGACGGGGCCCCCCAACAAGG
This 587-nucleotide ribosomal RNA is filed under the name Carnobacterium sp. RNAcentral describes it as "bacterial SSU rRNA". It matches the Rfam family "Bacterial small subunit ribosomal RNA", at positions 352 to 930 of the family's 1533-position model. The record is from RNAcentral. Lineage: Bacteria; Bacillati; Bacillota; Bacilli; Lactobacillales; Carnobacteriaceae.